GUAGGUGGCAAGCGUUGUCCGGAAUUAUUGGGCGUAAAGCGCGCGCAGGCGGUUCUUUAAGUCUGAUGUGAAAGCCCACGGCUCAACCGUGGAGGGUCAUUGGAAACUGGAGAACUUGAGUACAGAAGAGGGAAGCGGAAUUCCACGUGUAGCGGUGAGAUGCGUAGAGAUGUGGAGGAACACCAGUGGCGAAGGCGGCUUUCUGGUCUGUAACUGACGCUGAGGCGCGAAAGCGUGGGGGAGCAAACAGGAUUAGAUACCCUGGUAGUCCACGCCGUAAACGAUGAGUGCUAAGUGUUAGGGGGUUUCCGCCCCUUAGUGCUGCAGCUAACGCAUUAAGCACUCCGCCUGGGAGUACGGCCGCAAGGCUG
This 371-nucleotide ribosomal RNA is filed under the name uncultured organism. RNAcentral's name for it is "partial 16S ribosomal RNA". It matches the Rfam family "Bacterial small subunit ribosomal RNA", at positions 527 to 896 of the family's 1533-position model. The record is from RNAcentral.